GUUUUCCCAACACCAUUUAUUAAAUAGGGAAUACUUUCCCCAUUGCCUGUUUUUGUCCAGUCUGUCAAAGAUUGGAUGGCUGUAGAUGUGUGGCAUUGCCUCCGAGGCUUCUGUUCUGUUCCAUUGGUCUAUAUCUCUUUUUUGGUACGGGAACCAAACUGUUUGCAUUACUGUAGCCUUAUAGUGUAGUUUGAAGUCUGGAAGCCUGAUGCCUCUGGCUUUGUUCUUUCUGCUUAGGAUUGUCUUGGCUAUGUGGGCUCUUUUUUGGUUCCAUAUAAAGUUUAAUGUGUUUUUUUCCCAUUCUGUGAAGAAGGUCAUUGGUAGCUUGAUGGUGAUAGCAUUGAAUCAAUAAAUUACUUUGGGCAGUAUAGCUAUUUUCAUGAUAAUGAUUCUUCCUAACCAUGAGCAUGGAGUGUUUCUCCAUGUGUCUAUGUCUUCUCUUAUUUCCUUGAGCAACUCAAGUGAUUUCCCCCACCUCAGCCUCCCAAAGUGCUGUGAUUACAGGCUAGAGCCACCACACCUGGCCUCUUCUUGUAUUUUUGUAAUGUUACUUUUUAUAUUUAAAUCUUACAUCCUUUGAGAAUGUAUCUUAGUUUGAUCCACGCUUAUCUUGGCUAUUCAGUUUUUCCAUCAGAAUUUAUUUAAAAGUCCAUCUUUAUCUCACCAGUUUCAGAUGCCACUGAAUUCUUAUGUGCAAUUUGAGUCUAUUUCUGGACUUUCAAUUUUUUUCCAUUGGUUUGUCUAUUUAUGUAACAUUAUACACUAUUUUAGUGAUCAAAUCUUUAUAAUAUAAUUUAAUAUGUGCUAAGGCUAGUUGCUGUUUAUUGUCCUUCUUUUUAAGUUUUCCUAGCCACUCCUGAUUUAGAACUUUUCUAUAUGAACUUUUAUAUCAGUUUGGCUACCUCUUUUACAAAAGUCUUUUGGAAUUUUGAGAUUUUGUUGAAUUUAUGAAUUAAGUUAGGUAGAAUUAAUAUCUUAAUGAUGUUUCCCAUCUAUAAACAUGGAAUGAUAUUUCAUUCGUUCAAAUCUACUUUUUUUUUUCUUUUCUCUUUCUUUCUUUCUUUUUUUUUUUUUUGAGACAGAGUCUUAUUCUGUCGCCAGGCGCCAGGCGCCAGGCUGGAGUGCAGUGGCACAAUCUCAGCUCACUGCAACCUCCACCUCCUGGGUUCAAGCAAUUAUCCUGCCUCAGCCUCCUGAGUAGCUGAGGCUACAGGCACAUGCUACUAUGUCCAGCUAAUUUUUGUAUUUUUAGUAGAGACGGGGUUUCACCAUGUUGGCCAGGAUGGUCUUGAUCUCUUGUCCUCAUGAUCUGCCUGCCUCAGCCUCCCAAAGUGCUGGGAUUACAGGCAUGAGCCAUCAUGCCUGGCUUAAAUCAACUUUUAUGUUCUUUAAAAGUACUUAAAUUUUUGUAAAAAUAAAUUAUGGAUUUUAAAAAACUAUGUUUCUGGUUAUUUUAGGAAUAAUGGUUUAUUGCUAAUUGCUUUAUCUUUUUUUGCUGCUGUUUUGAAUUAGGUUUUUUUCUCCUAUUUUAUCCUCUGUCAGGUUAUUGUUUGUAAAAAUGGACUAUUGAUACAUAUAUAUUAAUUUGAUUCCUACUACCUCACUGAAUUUCCUGAUUGUUUUUAGUUUAUGGUAAAUUCUCUCUGAGUUUUCAGUUAUACAAUAUACCAUCUGCAAAUAGUGACAGUUUUACUUUCUCCAUUAAAAUAUUUCUGUGUAUAGACCUUUCUUUGUUUGGGAAAGGAAUAAAAUAAAAAAUACUUCCAUGUGUAAUUCUUUUAUCAUUUUUAUCACAUUGGCUAAUAUUUCGAGUAUAAUAUUAAAUAGCAGUGAUGAAAAAACACAUUCUUACCUUUUUCCUGAGUUAAGUGAAAAUAAUGCCAAUGUUUUGCCUUUCA
This 1898-nucleotide long non-coding RNA is filed under the name Callithrix jacchus (white-tufted-ear marmoset). RNAcentral describes it as "lncRNA (ENSCJAG00000078402.1)". Lineage: Eukaryota; Metazoa; Chordata; Mammalia; Primates; Cebidae. The record is from RNAcentral.